AACGAACGCUGGCGGCAUGCCUAACACAUGCAAGUCGAACGAGACCUUCGGGUCUAGUGGCGCACGGGUGCGUAACGCGUGGGAAUCUGCCCUUGGGUUCGGAACAACAGUUGGAAACGACUGCUAAUACCGGAUGAUGACUUCGGUCCAAAGAUUUAUCGCCCAAGGAUGAGCCCGCGUAGGAUUAGCUUGUUGGUGAGAUAAAAGCUCACCAAGGCGACGAUCCGUAGCUGGUCUGAGAGGAUGAUCAGCCACACGGGGACUGAGACACGGCCCAGACUCCUACGGGAGGCAGCAGUGGGGAAUAUUGGACAAUGGGCGAAAGCCUGAUCCAGCAAUGCCGCGUGAGUGAUGAAGGCCUUAGGGUUGUAGAGCUCUUUUACCCGGGAUGAUAAUGACAGUACCGGGAGAAUAAGCCCCGGCUAACUCCGUGCCAGCCGCCGCAGUAA
This 449-nucleotide ribosomal RNA is filed under the name uncultured bacterium. RNAcentral's name for it is "partial 16S ribosomal RNA". It matches the Rfam family "Bacterial small subunit ribosomal RNA", at positions 29 to 523 of the family's 1533-position model. The record is from RNAcentral.